GAGCCAGCAUUGUAUAGUGGUCUGAGUGUUGGACUGUGACUCUGGAGGCCAGGGUUCGAUUCCCAGCUUGUCCA
Molecule: non-coding RNA, 74 nt
Organism: Phrynosoma platyrhinos (Desert horned lizard)
Lineage: Eukaryota; Metazoa; Chordata; Lepidosauria; Squamata; Phrynosomatidae
Source: the annotation of a GenBank genome assembly